GUUAUACAUAACCACGUUGAUAAGAGCACUUUCUGUGGGUUGGUAAAAGGAUCAAGGGGUGAUGUAACCAUCACAAUAUCGAGUAAAGUUGGAGAAAGGUGCUGUCCUGAGGGCCAUUUGUGCUGGUUUUGAGCAACCAACUGAGCCAACUGCCAACUGUUUGUUUGAGUGGUGAUGUAGAGACAAAUGAGUGCUUGGAUAAUAGUGGGGGUUGCUGGCAAGAUAUAGGAGCCAACAUCACAGCCUGCAAGGAUACAUUCCGUGGGAGGGUAUGUGAAUGCCCCCUGGUUAAUGGUGUGCAGUUCAAAUGAGAUGGCUACAGCCACUGUGAAGGUGAGAUUGUUGUACAUUUAGUCUCUAUAUUUGUGUAAGUUUAAUUAAGAGAUGAAUUUUAAUCUGAUGAAUGCGUUAUUUGAGAAUCAUCGUUUCUUUCACAUAUUGUGAACUUGAGAGUUCUGCUGACUAAACCAAGGAAAUGAUGUUAAUGUUAUAAUAUUUUGAUUUA
This is a long non-coding RNA of Pistacia vera, 505 nucleotides long. RefSeq lists it as uncharacterized. The record is from RefSeq and is a predicted model, not a curated record. The transcript has 4 exons. Lineage: Eukaryota; Viridiplantae; Streptophyta; Magnoliopsida; Sapindales; Anacardiaceae.